GCUGGGCACGGUGGCGCGCGCCUGUAAUCCCAGUUACUCAGGAGGCUGAGGUAGGGGAUUCGCUUGAACCCAGGAGGCGGAGGCUGCAGUGAGCCGAGAUCGCACCAUUGCACUCUAGCCUGGGUGACAGAGCGACACUCCAUCUCAA
RNAcentral lists this non-coding RNA (148 nucleotides) under Gorilla gorilla gorilla (western lowland gorilla). The record is from Rfam by way of RNAcentral. Lineage: Eukaryota; Metazoa; Chordata; Mammalia; Primates; Hominidae.